AGGGAUUUAGCUCAAUGGUAGAGUGCAUGCUUAGCAUGCAGGAGGUCCUGGGUUCAAUCCCCAGUAUCUCUA
This 72-nucleotide transfer RNA is filed under the name Camelus bactrianus (Bactrian camel). It matches the Rfam family "tRNA". From Rfam's summary of the family: Transfer RNA (tRNA) molecules are approximately 80 nucleotides in length. Their secondary structure includes four short double-helical elements and three loops (D, anti-codon, and T loops). The record is from Rfam by way of RNAcentral. RNAcentral also lists the same sequence under 2 other names. Lineage: Eukaryota; Metazoa; Chordata; Mammalia; Artiodactyla; Camelidae.